GACGAACGCUGGCGGCGUGCUUAACACAUGCAAGUCGAACGGAAAGGCCCUGCUUUUGUGGGGUGCUCGAGUGGCGAACGGGUGAGUAACGCGUGAGUAACCUGCCCUUGACUUUGGGAUAACUUCAGGAAACUGGGGCUAAUACCGGAUAGGAGCUCCUGCUGCAUGGUGGGGGUUGGAAAGUUUCGGCGGUUGGGGAUGGACUCGCGGCUUAUCAGCUUGUUGGUGGGGUAGUGGCUUACCACGGCUUUGACGGGUAGCCGGCCUGAGAGGGUGACCGGCCACAUUGGGACUGAGAUACGGCCCAGACUCCUACGGGAGGCAGCAGUGGGGAAUAUUGCACAAUGGGCGGAAGCCUGAUGCAGCAACGCCGCGUGCGGGAUGACGGCCUUCGGGGUGUAAACCGCUUUCGCCUGUGACGAAGCGUGAGUGACGGUAAUGGGUAAAGAAGCACCGGCUAACUACGUG
Molecule: ribosomal RNA, 468 nt
Filed under: uncultured bacterium
Lineage: Bacteria
Description: partial 16S ribosomal RNA
Rfam family: Bacterial small subunit ribosomal RNA
Source: RNAcentral